Molecule: transfer RNA, 72 nt
Organism: Camelus ferus (Wild Bactrian camel)
Lineage: Eukaryota; Metazoa; Chordata; Mammalia; Artiodactyla; Camelidae
Rfam family: tRNA
About the family: Transfer RNA (tRNA) molecules are approximately 80 nucleotides in length.
Source: Rfam
GAGGGGAUAGCUCAGCGGUAGAGUGCAUGCUUAAAAUGCAGGAGGUCCUGGGUUCAAUCCCCAGUACCUCCA